This 4004-nucleotide long non-coding RNA is filed under the name Homo sapiens (human). RNAcentral's name for it is "HSALNT0043370". Lineage: Eukaryota; Metazoa; Chordata; Mammalia; Primates; Hominidae. The record is from RNAcentral.
CUCCUUCCUCCACUGCUACUUCUACAGGAAUUGUGAAGAUAAUGUUUUGGCGUCUUCAGCAGCCAGGAUUGUUGAAUAUUACAUAAGAAGCUCUCACCAAGACACCAAGGUAAAAUAUAUAUGACAAGCCAAAGACAGGUGCCAUAAAAAAAUAAGAAAUCUUCAAAGGGGAAAGAAAUUCCAAAAGUGGCAACAUGACACCACUCAUUCUCUGCCUACUUUCGAGGUAAGACGAUGUUGAAGUUCUGAGGGGGCUCAGUAAAUAACACCUCUCUUCCCCCUCCAGGUCCUGCACAAAUUGAAAACAUAAAAGGUAGCAGAUGGACUCAAAUGCCACCUUCAUGACUGAGGUGCCAAGCUGGAGGGCAGGAGUUGCCCUCUGGUCCUGGUUUAGGCUGACCUUCUGAACGGGGCCUGAGGGCAGGACCACACGGGCAGGGAUCAGAAAGGAGCUGGAGGAGAGCUCAGAAGGGAGGGCGGGCCCAGCUCUCUUGGCGGCCAAGGAAAAAGCCUGGCAUGUUAGAGCUGGUGCAGGACUCUCCAGGGUGACCGAGCCACCCAGAAGAGGGAAAAGCCAUUCUCCAUAACAAAAAGUCAGGACCGGCUGAAAGCCCCUCCCAGCCCUCCACCCUCCUUCGGCGGGGCUUCUUUCUGAGCUUUGCCCCAUCCCUGCCCCGUGCUGGUGACUGGUGUUUGGCUCCCUCCUAGAGAAAGAGAUGGGCCUGGGUUGGUUGAGAGAGAAAGAGAGAGAAAGGGAGAGACAGAGAGAAGGCUUAGCUCUUGUCCAACAGGGCCACCUAGAGGGACUCUCAGGCUUGAGCGGGAGAAGCAGAGUUUUGAGGCAGAGCUGAUCAAGGGAACCUCAACAAACAACCCCAGCCAUGGAGGCGGCGGUGUCUUUGAAGACCCCAUGAGAGCAUCAAACAAGGGAGAGAGCCUGGAACAAAUCAUGGUAGUAAAAUGGCGGCAGAGAGCUAGUAAUGUGUCUGCAAUUGGUGGGUUCUUGGUCGCACUGACUUCAAGAAUGAAGCCGCGGACCCUCACGGUGGUGUCUUUGGUGGCUGUUCACCCUUCCACAGUAAACAUGCUUGGGAAGCAACUUUGCCAAAAGCCUUCGGACAGUCCAGCGUCAACACCGCAAGCCAAGUGGAGGAGAAAAAUCUGCGCCUCUUUCUCUCAAGGGAUACUUUGUCUCUGGGGUACUUUCUGACCCAGUGGACCCCUGGCAGAAGUAAGCGUGGACUGUGGCUGCAGGACCACGCAGAGUCAACACGAACCGAAGCCAGGCCUUGGCCACGGCAGCUCUGGGGUCCAACCACUUGAUCAAUGCAGGAAAUGCUUUGAUGGCAGAAUUCUUCCAUGGCCAGCUUCUCAUAUUCUCUGGGACAGACACAAACCAAGAAAAAUGAGUGUGGCGCAGAAUCUGAUGUGUCCUUCCUUACCCCGUGCUGGUAGCAAAAAGUAUGUCUUGAACUUUUCUUUGUUACACACAGUCUGGGUAAUAACAGACUGAAGGAAAACUAAAGAAGCUUGGGAGGCUAAGUUCAAUGACAAAUGAAGAACUAAGGCAGAGAAAAAAGAGAAUUGAGAAAGUGUCUGGGUGUCUGGAGAGGUUGGGGGAAUAGAGAGGGAGGAGAUAUAAUUGGCCAGAUAACUUGAGAGUGGGAGAGGAGUGCAAACAUUAUUUUUGAGGCGCUUUGUUGGAUAUUUAAAAUGCACUCCUACCUUUGGCAUUUUCUCAAAAGGCAAGAAAGAUUUGUUUUCAAUUCUAUUUUUCUGCUGGACUGAACCAGUGCCAAGACUGGACCAUGUAGGAUCCUGGGUUUAUUUCAGUUACAUAAGCAAACGUUGCUGUGAUUUGGAAUAGUCAAAGUCAUGAAUGUUUCUCAACUUCCAUUUUGUCAGCUGCUUGAGUUUCUAUUCUGAGAGGUGCUAACUGUGAACAUUGUUAUUCACUUGUGUUCCCUAAAUCACUUUUAAUUAGUUUUAAUUUGAACCAAGAAUGUUCUACUGUUGAAACUAUGUCAAGAAUGAUCAAAAAUGAAAUUAAUAAAGAAUUCGCGUCAAAAAAAAUUUGCACUAAUAUUACAGUAUUUUAUAAUGUCUAUCUCAGCAGAGUCACAGAUAAUUUAGAAUUUUUAAUUUUGUUUUUAAGUGAUUUUCCUCAAAGCUAUAAUAGCCUUGGUAAAGAGUUUAGUUAAACAUUAUUUUUCACCUCUCACGCAUUUUGUGUAAUGAAAUUUUUCUAUCAUCUUCCAGUGGAAUUAAUUGCAUUGGUGCAAAAAAUGCAAUCAAAUCGAUGACUGAAUUUAGCCUUUGAAACCUCACGUCUAGCUGGGAUAGUUACUAUAUUCAUUACAUACUGAAAAAUGAUAAGCAGUAAGCUUUUCUGCUAAAAAACUGCCAAAGAUAAGUUUUUCAAGGCUCUCAAAAUAUCCUAAAGCUGACAAUACAAGAAAUGUUAAAAUAUUGUUGGAAUUUUUAACGGAAUCUUCCUUCUCUUCUUUUCCUGUUUAAGACAAUAGUAGUUAGUUGUCCACUAAUCGUUAAUACACGAUUUUCUAACAAAGACUUGCAUAUCCUUUUGGCUAAAAAGUGGCCAAAUAUCAGAGAGCUAGAAGUUUGGGAGACAGCCUUUAGUCUUUUCCAAAGCAUGUAAGCCCUUUUGAAUCAUUUUGGGUAAAUGGCGAAGAUUAAACAGAAUUCAUAAAGGGUUUCUGAUACAUAAGUGGAAUGUGCCUGUGAGGACACUACACAUGACAAUAAUCUAAGCAUGCUCUCUUUUAGUCCCAAAACGUGUAGAGUAAUGUCACAUGAAAUUUACAGGAGGCCAUUGACUUGGACUGAGCUCCUGCACCAGGCCUAACAGACCAAACCAAAAUGGAGUCACUCAUGCUGAAGUUCACACCACCAAGCCAAAACUGAGUUGUUUAUCCGAUCUUCCAAGAAAUCAAGAAAGACAGGGAGAUAACAGCCCAAUCCCCAAACAGGCCAGUUUUUGCUGGCAUGAUAGGAAGGCCCCUCUGCUUCAAACUUUCCAAAGAAAGUAACUUGGAAACAACCAAUCUGCUUUUUGUUCUCCGUUUCUGCUUUCCUCAACCAUUUUCUGACCAUAAAACCAACAUCCUUUGCUCGGCUCAUGGGAACAUUCAUUCUAUUUUGUAGAAUGAGGUGUUGCCCGAUAUUCUAGAUUUGCAAAUAAAAGCCAAUUAAGAUCUUUAAAUUAAAUCUGUUGUAACUUUGUCUUUUGACACUAAUAAAUGCACGAACAGGUUUCUUUAGAGAAAGCCCGUGAUAUGCAGGGUAUGUUUGACAAGUGCUGUGGUCAAAUGUGAUACUGUUUACAUUCUCAUUUUCAUAAUUUUCUUAAGUACUAUGUAAUUUGGUCUUGGGAAUGCUUCGCUAAUUACGGGUGAGGAGGAUGGGCCUUGUAUGUGACAGAAUGAUUUAGUGUUCUGUAGUUCAGUGGAAAGAGUGUAGAUGUGUUGAAUAUUUAUGACGUUUUACCUUCUCUCUUUGUUACAGAGGCCUUACAACAAAUUAAAACAUGUGUGUCAGCUCCCUAAUUAUCUAGCUAGACUUUUAAAGAUUGGCUAGUUAAGGCUGAAUUUUAUUCAAGCACUACUUCAUCUGUCAUACUAUUUUAAGUACAUUAGCCUUGUUAGCCUAUUAUAUGGCCAUGAUCAGUACUGUUUAAAUUGCCAACUUCUACAAGUCCCUUCUGUGUGCUCUGGCUCAAUCAAUGCAUUAGUGGUACUAGCUUAGUUUUGUCACAGUUCUGGGCACAUUGGCAGUCCCCGGGUGGGAGGCCUGGAGCUCCUGAGUAAACAUAGUGCAUCUGCCUGGAGCUUCAAUUUUACUUGAGGAUUUGGAAAAAUAUAAAUUAAUCGAUUUAACCAUUUAUUUAAUGUGCUCCAAUUCUUUAUUUAAUUGGCUGCAAAGCAAACAAAAUUAUGCAUUAGCUAUGUUAUGACUAAAACCCAAAUGUUGUUGAAUACUUUCAG